Molecule: non-coding RNA, 3535 nt
Organism: Chlorocebus sabaeus (green monkey)
Lineage: Eukaryota; Metazoa; Chordata; Mammalia; Primates; Cercopithecidae
Source: RefSeq, a predicted model, not a curated record
GUUGGGGUCACCUCCACAGUUAAGUCAUGUACCUGGUGGAGACUAUGCUUGCGGAGAAUGGUUUAAGGAACAAAGAGUUCUUCAUUUUUCUUUUCUUCCUUUUUUCUUGAUUCUUCUUUCUUGGCAGUCUGGAUUCAGAAUGUUUUCAUGCCGGGUGGCCAAGGUGAGGGAGCCUUUUCAGGCAAGGAAGGGCGAGUUUGUUUUCUGAUCUGCAGGGCUGGGUGUGCCGUCUCAUGGCUGAAAACUGAAAGGCUGCACCAGAGUUCCCAGUUCAAAUUGCAGCUUCUGAUCCUGGCACUGAGGACGACCUUGAGCUACUUAACCAAGCCGGCAGAGCUUCACUUUCCUCAUCUCUUAAGUGAAAGGGAUCACAGUAUCUAGCCCAAAAGAUUAGUUUGAGGAUUCAAAGAGACAAUGGGUGUAAAAGACUCAGCACAUUGAGUUUCAGUUAAUGCAGUGAAUAGUAACAACGACAACAACAAUAAUAUUAUUAAUUGUGGGAACAGAAAACUAGGUCCUGAGGUUUCUUUGUGCCAGAGAUGGAUACAAAUUAGUUAGGAGAGCAAGCAUUUUUGCCACUAGAUUUCCAGACCUGGUGGCAAAGAGGAACUAGUUGAGGGAGACCCCCUGGAGUCUUUGCAAUUUUCCAUCAAUUGUCUGAGCCGAAAAGAUUCCUAGAGUUCAUGGGGUCUUAAGUACCUGGAGGUGCUGAGGCCCAGAGAGGGAAAGGGACUUACCCCAGGUCACACAGUAGCAGAUGGUCGGAUCCCAGACGUUCUUAUCAUGCUUGAAUUAAUCAUUGUGGUCUAGCUUUUCUAACACAACAGCAGGCUAUGCCCCCAGCAAGGAUGAGUCACUGGUUGGCUGUGCUCAAGCCUGACCUGGGCUCAGAGCCAAGCCUGAUGGCGAUGAGGGAUACUGGUGUGAACACCGCCUUCUGCCUACCCAGUAUGUCACUUUUCUAAAGCAGGUAACUACCCAUUCAGGUGUUCUGGUCCUUGUUCCUGCAAGGGUCUCAGUGUCCUCAUCUGUAAAAUGGAAGUACCAUAGCAUCUACCUCCCUGGGGAUGAUUGUGCAGACUCAGUCUGUUAAUGUAAAGUUCUUUGAACAGUCUGACGUGGAUUAACUGCUCAGUAAAUGUUGGCCACCAACUAAUGCAGAGGUCACAGUUCCUGGAAAGGUGGCAAGACAGCACCCUGCAGAGGGCUGAGCCUUUGGAAGGGUCUCAGAGAUAGAGAAUUGCACAGAGAGAGUCCCAGUCCACAGAGAAGGUGAAAACUCAAAUGCUCUCCAGAGUGUUACUGACUCUCACUUCCAACAUCCAACAGAGCCUCCAACAGAGGCUCACACAGGUGGCCCUCUGACCAAAGCCAGCCCUCUCAUAAGAUACCAUGUGGCCCGUAAAUGAAGCAGAUCCCCAAAUGGUGACAGAACAACAUCUAAGUGAGAAGAGUGAAGACACAGGCAAUGACUGCUCUUCGUGUCCAUUUGUACAAAACAAGAGCCUUGGAUAGGCUUUGAUAUAUUGGUUCUUGCAGAGAAGGUCUCUGGAAGGAUCUGCAGGAAACUGGGAAAAGUUGGUGCCUCAGUGAGCAAGCUGGGGUACUAGGAUUCAAGGAGGUGAGAGAGUUUUUGUGCUGUUUGAAUGCUUUAUUUUGAAUGUUUUAUUUUUUGAAUUUGUAAUGUUUCAUCAAUAAUAAGGCAAGGAAAUUUUAGAGAUGUUGGUCAAAGAAUACAAAAUUUCAGUUAGAUAGGAGGAAUAAAUUGAAGGCAUCUAUUGUACAGCAUGGGUGACUAUAGUUAAUAACAAUGUAUUGUGUACUUGAAAAUUGCUAAGAAAAUAGAUCUGAAGUGUUCUCACUACAAAUAAAUGUUAAGUAUGUGCAGUAAUACAUAUGCUAAUUAGCUUGCUAUGGCCAUUCCAUAGGGUAUACAUAUUUCAAAAUACCGUGUUAUACAACAUAAAUAUGUAUAACUUUUAUUUGUCAAAUAAAAAAUAAGCAUAAAGGUAGAUAGAUGAGAGGGAAAGAAAGAAGGAAAACAGAAAAAGAUAAUAAAGUAUAAAGUGUGAGGAUAAAAGAAAAAGGAAAAGAAAAAGUCUUUAUGAGAAGUUGGGAGAGUGUUUUAAAAAGGAAAUCCAGGUACCUUAGACAUUCAGAGGAAGCUUCCCUAAAAAUGCAUUCUUUCAGGCACUGGGAGGAGCAGUGGGACCUUAGCACCUUCCCUCCGCUUUGUGGACCUAAAGGGUUACAUCUGUAAAAUAGAAAGAAGGCACCUCCCAGCCCAAGAUUUCAGAAACUCUAGGAAGCAGAGUCCAAAUCCAGGCUACCUUCACCACCUCACCCCAGGGCAAACUCCUUCCCCAGGGCUCCCUGUACCUUUGCCCUUCUGUUUCCCCUUCCUGAUUUGGUAGACAGACCUGAUCAACACUGUGAUGAUCAAAAAAAAAGAAAGAAAGACAAUUUGAUGUAUACCAAAGCCCAUGGACAGUAAACUCCUGAGACAUGCUUUGUAUCUCUCUGGGGGAGGGUGGACACCUGCACCUUUCUCCUCAUAACCACCAAAUGAAUUAUGGAGGCCAAAAAGGUGAACCUAUCUGUGUGGAUGGCUGCCAGCUGCUCUGUUGUACUGGUGUGUUAUAAUAACAGUAGUGGAUAUUUCAUGAGUGCUAACUCUGUGCCAAGUACUUAGGCUGUAAGAUCUCACUCAUUCUAAAGGCAAGUCUAGGAGAGAGGCUACUGAACUCUGUUCUGAGAUGAAGGUUCUGGGGCUCCAAGAAGUUGAGUUACUCAAGUUUACACAGCUACUUAGUGCUGGAGUGGUACUCUGAAACCAGAUUAUUUUGACCCCACUUUUUGUUCUCUUAACCACCAACCUACUUUGCUGUCCACCAUACAGGGAGCCCUACCUCCCCAUUCAUCCAGGCCAGCGAAGGCUUCCUGGAAGAAGUGUCAUUUAGGUGGUGCCUGGGAGAGCCAGAAGGCUUUCGAUUUUCACUGUAAGAAAGAUUAGCCAUCUUCCACAAGGAGGUUUUCUUCAGAAUAAAAGGCCCUAGAGACAUUAAAAGGAAACUCAUAAAAAAUUCAUCUCUGAGUAGUAAUUGCAUCAUAAAAAGUAUUGAGUUGGUGUGCAGAUGCAAAUUGGGCCAUAUGAAUUAAUGAUGUAAAUAGUCGGAAUGAGGGUGCACAUUCAGAAAAUGUCCUACACCGUCUUCUUCAGUGUGCUAGGCAAAGUUGGGCCAGGUGGCAGUAUGCCCGGGGGUUUAAGGGACAUUUUUGGACUGCCAAUGACCAUUUUCUCAGGCCUCCAAAUCCUGCUCAGUGUUACUUCUUUAGAACCUCCUGAAUCCAUGGCUAGGCUCGCUGUUUUCUCUUAAUCCACGCUCUCUGAGUGCCUACUGUGUGCUGGGGCUAUUCUGAGGAUGGUGCCAUGCCACCCCUCCAUCCUUCCUGCCCCCUCCCUGCUCACCUCAUGUGAAUGUACUGAUUCCAGUAGAAUGAAGAUGGAUGUUCAUAAACUUGUAUGUACACAUUU